UCCCUGGUAGUAUAUCGGUUUAGUACACGCGCCUGUCAUAGGUGCAUUCCUGCUAGAAAGGACGCGCGAAAGCUGGGUUCGACUCCCAGCCAGGGAG
RNAcentral lists this transfer RNA (97 nucleotides) under Lentinula raphanica. Its description in RNAcentral is "tRNA-Asp". The record is from RNAcentral. Lineage: Eukaryota; Fungi; Basidiomycota; Agaricomycetes; Agaricales; Omphalotaceae.